Molecule: long non-coding RNA, 10677 nt
Filed under: Olea europaea (common olive)
Lineage: Eukaryota; Viridiplantae; Streptophyta; Magnoliopsida; Lamiales; Oleaceae
Description: long non-coding RNA (OEUR_LNC001417)
Source: RNAcentral
GUUUCUUACAAGGAACAACAUUGAAUACAAUAAUACAAACAUUAGGUGGGAUCAAACUUGUUGCAUCACUUGCUUCGAUCUCAUGUUUACUUUACAAGGUACCACCACACAAUUAAGAAUAUUUAAAUCUUAAUAAAAACCGAAAAAGAAUUCUUCCUAUUGAAAAACUCUAAUCUUCUUAAGUCGACGUAAUACUAGUGAAACCAACCACACAAAUAAUAUACUUGCAUUUGCUUAUUUCCCAAAUCUACAAAUUCUUGAUGCAAAUGUGGACUAUGUAUCAAGGCUCUGGCUUAUCAAGAAAUUCAUUUUCAGCAGCAAUUCUGCCCGAGCCACAGCCCAUUUUCCCAAACGAGCCUACUGUCGAUAAACCCUUGAAACUGCUACUGCCCUCACUGAAGUUCCGGGACCUUCUAGACCUUCUCGGCUUUGAGGAGUUGACGUCAUGGUCGGUUUCACUGUCGUGUUUAACCUUGGCAACAAUCAGCUGAAUAAUGUUACUUCUGCAAAAUGGGCAAACUAGUAUGGAAGGACAUGCCGUUGUUGGGCUGGGCUUGUUAUGGCAGCACAAGGCCACUGUGCAUUGUGCGCACAUUUGGUGGCCACAUUCUUGAACCUCAAUUGUACAUACUUGAUCAAAACAUAUGCAGCAAAGAUCUGUAUCACUAGCCUGCACGAGAUUGUCUCCAAAUUAUCCUAGUUUUUCUUACAAGGGGUUUGCAAUAAACCAAAAGAUAUAUUGAUGUUCAUUUUAAGCAUCAUUUAAGCAAGAAUCUAGAGAAAGAAUAGUCCCAUCAAACAAUAGACAGUUCAAAUUCAUUAGAAAGAUAUAUUGAUGAUAAAGAGAGGACAAUCACCUCAGAUACAUUGUCAUCAAGCCCAGAUUCAGAAUGCGAGGGAGAUGAUAGUGAAUAAACUGUUCCUUUUAGGACGGCCUUUUCCCUCUCUCUGUUAGCCUCCAUUAAGGCACGUUCCAACAGAGCUUUUGCCUCCUGAUUAAGCUCGCUUAUGAACUUCAAAGGCCACGGCCAGACAAGAGGCUCUGCGGAAGAAGGAUUCAGCAAAGCUGCACAUGCUCCAUGGUGAUGCCGUAGAGCCACUACAUAAGGUAUUCUCCUAAAUCAUGUUCAUGAGGGCUAUAAUAUUAGAUCUACGACUACUGAAAGUCAUUUCUCUGAAGAAAAAAAUUAUCAAAAGUUUAUAUAAUCGAGACAGAUGGAGACUUUGUUUUGCACUCUAACUUCUGUUCUGACAUAUGAUAAAAGCAAAAUUCAUUACUUCGACAAGAAAACCAAAUAUUAUUGUUCUAAAACUCCAUAAGCAUUUCAAAAAUGUUAAAUGACGAAGUAAGAAUUUUAUUAGUGUGUGACAAAUGCUCCAGCUGAAUCAAUAUGGAUACACUUAGUACGGAAAAUUAAAUAAGAAAUAGAUACCCUGAUGCAUCUCUUUGAAGUCGAUCAGCACCCCAAGCCAACAAUUCGCGGAUGCAAUCAAGAGAACCACCUCUUGCAGCCAAAUGAAGGGCAGUGCUGCCUGGAAAGCUGUCAACAAGAAAUUAUCAAUUUAAAAUUUGCUUGACACAAGCCAAGGGACAGUCUACAAAAGUCAUGAUAAUAAGAUUACCCAUAUCCACUGGUUGAAGCACAGACAAGAGAGCUAUUGUCUAGUAAUAUAUGAACACAUUCAGGCCGUCUUUGACGGGCAGCCAAGUGCAGAGGGGUUGCUCCUUUGCCAUCUCUAAUAUUCACAAAACGAGCAUAUCCCCUGUAAAUCAAAUCAAAGUACACGGAAUUCUAGAGAGCAAAUGGGAUACUAAUUCAAGAGGAAAAUAAUGCCAAACACAAUAUAUUCAAUUGUAAACUACAGUGUUAAUUUUUAGGUGUAUUUUGGGUUCAACACUAUAUUGGAUAUUCCAUACAUGUUAGGCUGUCCUAAUAUUCUGACAUAUGAAAAGAAUAUUUUUUAGGAUUCGAGAGUUGAAACCUGAAUAAAUGGAUGGACAUGACUUUCAAGUCCAGGGUGAACCAUUAUAAAUUCAUGUGCCUCUGAUUCCACUUUACUCAAUAUCGCUAUCUUGAGAUUACGGCUUAGGUCCUAGCAAAGUAAAGUCAAUCUUUACCAAGAAACCUACCAAGAAAUAGAAACCUGGGAGGUGCGAGCAGUCAUAAGAAUAGCUUGAAGGCAAUCAGAAUGACCAUAGUAGGCAGCAUAGUGCAAGCAGGUCCUUCCAUUUAGUGAAUCAAACAUUAAAAUCUGGCCCAAUAUUCAACAUUAGCCCCAUCAAUUAUGAAACACCAACACACAUGUAAAUGCAUAUAUAUAAGGACAGACUACUUGAAAAUGCCUCGAUAGAGAAGAUAAGUGAUUGGUAAAAAGCAUACAUUUGCCCCAGCUUCAAUGAGUUUUUUCACACAGGAGAUCUUUCCAUGCAUUGCAGCCAACAUCAAUGGAGUCUAAAUUGACCAAUCAAACAUAUAUCAGAUAUUAAUUCUCAAGAAUCAAUAACAAGAUCAAAUCAAAUAUUUACAGCCAUUUCGAAGAGAUCAAGAUGAACACACCUGCUUGUGGCGAUUCAAUAAAUCGGGAUUGACAGAUCGGUCCAAAAGCAUAGAAAGAAUCUGAAAUCCCCAAAUCCGACAAAUCAAAACCAGAAAUGAGAAAAACAUCAAAAUUUCAUGAACAAAGAAAAUUACGAAGAAGCCCACCUCGAUUUGGCCAUUAGCUGCAGCGAUAUGCAAAGCAGAGUGGCGAUCAUACACUGUAGAGCGAUUAAUAAGAGUUGGUUCCCUUUCCAAAACAGCCUCAACGGUCUCAAAAUCCCCCAACUGCACAGCACUGAACAGCGCCUGCUCCUCACUGGUCCUGCAACUCAGCCCCUGACCCAUUAUCCCUUUAAAGAUUUAUAAAUAUUGUAAUUGGGAUUGUGUAUGGAUAUGUAGGUGGUGGAGCACCUCCACCGGGAAUCAUGCACCGCCGUGGAAAGUGGCAGUGGGGGUGGCGGAAUAGGAGAGUGCUUCAUAUAUUGAUUCAUAUAUUUAUGUGGGUUUAGGAAGCUUGGAGCUGCCCGGGAAGGGCAGGGGAAAAGGGCGGGUAACUGACCGUGUCAGUAACAAGGUGGGACAGCGGGCAGCAGUCAGAUAUUUUUCGGACAGUUGGAUUCCCAAAAUAAUAGAAUAGAGCUCAGUUUCACACAUUUGCAGUUGAUAAUGUGCGGUGAAAAUUGCAGCGAAGGUCUCUCACUAUGAGUUUUGUGCAAAUAGAACCUUAAGAUUUAAUUUUUAUCAUUCACAUAAUUUGCAAUUCAUAUUUUAUGGAAGAUUUAGUCCUUAUCAACGGAUUUCAUAAAAAUUACUAUUUUUGAAAUAGCUCAUGCUUAACACUUGUUUACUUUGAUCAUAUCAUGCAACAUGUAAAAAUCGGAUGAUCUAUCAACUAGUAAUUUAAGAAAGGACCGAGACAAAGACCCAAAAAUAUUUAAAAGAAUCAAGAAUUAAAAUUAAUUAAUAAAUGAGGGUGAAUCAAUCGAUUUUUGUGGUGAGCCUAUCACUUCUACUUGGGUUCUUUUAAGUUUUAAAGGAAUCUAAAAAUUCGUUUUUUACUCAUAAUUCGGCAAGAUUUUAAAAUCAUUCCUCCAUUUUCAGUCGAAUUGUCUCAUCUAAUUUUCAUAACAUGGUUUAACAGUAACGGGUACAUAAAGGACUAAAUUGCAGCAAAUAGGAAAUAUGGAGAAUGAGAAUGCUAUGAGUUAAAGGUUGAGAAUUUAUUUGCACAAUAUGAAUAAGGUAGGGACCUCUACUUACAAUGUUCCUCAACAUUUGUGUGAGUCAACGUUUGAUGAGCAUUGAUUGGUGUUUGCGCUUUGUCCAAAUUCCAAGCUUUCAUACUCUUAUUAGAAUGUUCAACGUAGGGUAUGUCGGUAUGAUUCAAAUAACGUUAUAAAAUUGAUUUUAAUUAUAGCUUGUUUGAGCCUAUUUUGAGGGAAAAUAUAUUUUAAAUUAGUAUUUUGUGAAGAAUGUUUGUUUAAAAAAGAAGAACAAAAAUUCGAUUUACGUAUAAAAUUAUUUUAUUAAAAAAUGUGUGGUUAAAAAUGAAUUUUCGUAAAAUAGGGCUCAAACAAGAAUUUAAUAUUUAAUACAUAACUUUUAAUGAUCUACGCCCUUCCCUUAGCGCCUCACUAAGCGAGGGCUCACAACCGAAGGAUGCACGGAGUGAGGUUACCUAUGACGCCACUCCUUUCUAGCGUAUGGAAUAGCUUUUGAAGAUCUCAAAAAUAAGUUUGUGUUUGUAUGUAAAUGCAUUUGUUUCGUUGCGAUUAAAAUUGACAAUGGGAUGGAAUUAAUCAAUCCCAAGGAUGCCCGCCCCAUCCCUAUCUCGAUUAGAGAUUGAAAAGAAUAACGACGUUGUAGGUCAAGUGCACAUGAAGCUUAGGCCCCGUUUAGUAUACGUUAAUGUAAAAAUGAGAAUGAAAAAUAUAAUUGUUACGGACCCCACACAAGAAAUAGAAAGUCGAAUAUGGUGACUUGAUGUGAUGGAUAACGAACAUAUUUUUCAUUUUAAUGAGUAAAAAAUGGAACCAAACGGGGGCUUAAUGUUUUUUAAUAAUAGCUCUUUUUUGAGAAAGUUUAUUCAAGUUUUUCUCUGGCAAGUAAAAUGAACUUAGCCAAAGUUGAAAUUUCAUACCCUACUAGUCUAAUUCACCAAUCUUGUAUCCAUCCUUGACCCGGAAACUUUUUUUAAUCAGUAAUUGCUGGUAUCAGUUUGUUAAUAAUCCAAUAAAUUAAUGUAAUAAUAUUAAUAAUUCUAGGUGAUAAACUUGGAAAAUUGAACUGGGAUUGCUUAUGCGCGUGCAGCUAACAUUGAUUUUAUAAUUUCCUAAUAUUUCAACUUUUCCCUUUCAAUAGGAUUUUGAAUUACUUAAGAAAAAUAUUUCUAUAAUUGUACAAGAUAAGAUUAAUUAUUUUGUCACGUGUGUAUGAAUUAUAUUUAUUCACUCAAGAAAAUCAGAAUAAAAUAUCUUGCAAAAGGAUUUGAAUAAAUUUUCUUGUCAUGUCAAAGCCAAAAAUAUCUUGUGCAAGUUUAAAGAGUGAUAUACUUACAAGUGUAGAUUUGUGAAUUGAAAAAGGGCCACGCAGCUUUUGAGUCACUUUUAAAUGUGGUCUGCAGUUAGCCCUUUUAUGUCGACAGAUAUACGUGCUAAAGCUGGUUGAAAUGUACCUAUCAAGUAGGGCUCCACAAAAAAAUUUCGAAAUUACAAAUCGAAUCGAAAUCGUUGAGUGGAAACCGUUGGUUCGGGUCCACGUGGACCCGUGGUUUCUUUUUUCUCAAACCGAACCAAAUCGUUUCAAAAUAGUUUGGUUUAGGUUUUGAUUUUCAAAAACCGCACAAAAUCGAACCGAACCGUUUUUAAAUUUUUUAAUUAAAAAAAUAAUUUUAUUAUCUUAAAAAUCUUACAGUUUUCACUUUUCAAAAUAAAAAACCAAUUUAACAAUACAAAUUACAACUAACUUAUUGAAAUAAUCAUAGAAAGUAAAUUAGGUUCAUCAUUAUUGACAUAUGAUUUAAUAGGUUCACGACACAUGUCAUCGCUUGAUAUCUAAACUAAACUAAAAUUAUUCCAAAAUCACAUGAAAUGAAAAAAAAAAUUUAGCAAUCCAAAUCAUAAUUUAGCCCCCGUUUGAUUCACAUUAUUUGCUCAUUAAAAUGAAAAAUAUGACCGUUAUCCAUCACAUCAAAUCACCAUAUUUGAUUUUCUAUCUCUACUAUAUUUUUCAUUCUCAUUUUUUCAUUAAUGUAUAUCAAACGGGGCCUUAAUAAAACCACAUCAGUAAAUCACGUCCAAAGUUUCAGAAACCCUAACAUAAGCUCUUAUUUUCCUAACAUUUGACGCUUGUCUACCACCGCUGAACGAAUCACCAGUCGCCUUUACCUGUUAGUCUACUAAUAUUUUCUUGAAUCGCCUCUUUCUCUCUUCUCUUUCGAUAAGUCUUAGAUUUUUAUUUAAGCCAUUUUUCUUUGUUCUUUCUUUAAUUUUUUUUUAACUUAUUAUACAUUUGUAAGUUGUGGUUUAGAUAGAAAAAUGAUUGUUUGUGUGCUUAGAUAAUUAAUGAACUUGUUUUUUAUUUGAAAAGAACGAAUGACGAAGCGUAUUGAUUGUAUGAAAAAUGUUAAAGUUCUCUAACUAGUACUACUACCUUUUACUUUACAUCUCAUUAGAAAAAUAAAAAAGAGUUUUAACUAAACUAUAAUAAUAGAAUGUAACUCUAUAUUUACCAACCGUUAUAUAACAAUGUGAAUGUCAAACAAGAAAGAGUAAGUAAAAAUGAAGAAAUAUGUAUUCGUUCUAUUAGUUCAAUACAUUAUUAUAAUGUCGAAAGGCAAACCGCGAAUUAAAACCGAAUCAAACCGUAAAUUAUGUUUUGGUUUGAUUUGGUUUGAAAAAUAAAAUGGUUUGAUUUGGUUUGAAAAAAUUUCAAACCGCUAAAAAUGGUUUGAGUUGAAAAUAUAGCACAAACCGUCCAAAUCGAACCGCGUCCAUCCUACUAUCAAGGCACACUACGUGCUAACUAAGUGUUAUCAUACGAGUUUUGAAUUUGCACAUAAUAUUUGGGUGUAUGUAAUAUGUAUAAAAUUUAAUGUACAUUACGUGGAUUUCGUGCUAACUAAGGCAUUAUAACACAAGUUUUGAGUUUGCAAGUAAUAUUUGAAGUGUAUGAUAUGUGUACAAUUUUUUAUGUACAUUGCGACACAAGUAUUUAUAUUGUCAAAAAUCAAUUUUAUGAAUAAAGUAAAUUCUAAAUAGAUAGUCAAGCACAAACGUCUUCUUAAUCGAUAAACGACGAACCAUGUUAGAGAGAACUGAUUUGAAAAAGUUGUUGAUGCGAACCCGCGUAGCACGAUCACUACCAAACCAACAACAAAUUGAGAAUCAAACCCAAGAAAAUCAAAGACAAGAUUUUGGAUUAAACCCAAUAAACUGGAACCAAGCAACUCGAAUCGCCGACAAUAUACGGACCUCUUGAUUACACAAUUUAAAUGAAUCUCACCCGGUUGAUUUGAACAUCACAAGAUUAAUCUUGAUAAGUUCACAAGCUGUUCAACGAAGAACGAGAGAAAGCAAUUAAUGCCUCACGAAUAAUAUUCAAUAAUAUAAGAGUUGUAAUGUUUUACAAUAAGGAAUAAAGUAUUUAUAUUAUUCUAGAGAACCUAAGUAAACUAGGAAAAAUAUCUAAGAAUAAUACAAAAUUCGUUCACAAUAGCCUAAUAUGGUAAAAAUCUACUAAUAACGAAAUUCUAUUAAAAUAAGGAAAAAAAGGCGAAAUUUGGAAAAAUUCGCCUCGGAAUUUGCCUAUGCAGCCGCAUAGCUUUAGAGCACGCGGUCGCAUAGUGCAAUUGGUCUGCGACUUUGGGACUUCUGCUGGGUAUAUGCGACCGCGGGACUUUAGACCUGUGCGGCCGCAUGGUUUAAUGCUCCAGCUCCGUUUUCUUAAGCUUUAAAUAUGUUGAUCCAAUACUCUUCGAACUUCAUCCCCAACACGAAACUUACUCCAUUUUGCAUCUCGAACAUUGCUUCAUCAACCGGUUGCUUUGACGAGCAGUCUCAUCGCCUCUUUCACGCGCUUGGCCCUCGAUCGCGUCAUCGGCCCCUCGAUUAUCAACGGAUCUUUCCUCGAGCUCAACUCUGGACUUGACUUUGGUACUUGUGCUUCCUGGAUCACGUCAUCCCCUCCCUCUUCGAAAAGAUUUGACCUCGAAUUUGCACCUACAUCGAAAAGAGAUAAGUCAGAAACAUUGAAAGUUGCAUAAACACUAUACUCACCUGAAAGAUAUAUCUUAUAAGUGUUGUCGUUGAUCUUCUCAAUCACUUGGAACGGUCCAUCUCCUCGUGACAAUAACUUUGAUUUUCUUUGCUCUGGGAAUCGCUCUUUUCUGAAAUACACCCAAACCCAAUCUCCUGAUUCGAAAGUGACAUAUUUCCGACCUUUGUUUGCUUGUGUUGUGCGUUGAUUGUUCUUCCUCUCUAUUUGUUCCCUUACCUUUUCAUGGAGUGUUUUCACCAAUUCAGCUUUCUUUUUCUCAUCCAAGCUACCUCAUUCAUUCACAGGCAAAUGUAUUAAAUCCAUAGGUGUUAAAGGAUUAAAACCAUAAACAAUUUCAAAUGGUGAAAACGACGUAGUAGAAUGCGUGGCCCUAUUAUAUGCAAACUCAAUGAAAGGCAAACAUUCUUCCCAAUUCUUAAGAUUUUUGUUAACCACAAUGCACAAUAGUUGUGUCAUUGUUCUAUUCACUACUUCAGUUUGACCAUCGAUUUGUAGGUGGCAAAUUGUAGAAAAUAAUAAUUUCGUGCUUAACUUAUUCCACAAGACCCGCCAAAAGUGACUAAGAAACUUAACAUCCCUAUCGGACACAAUACUUUUGGGAACACCAUGCAAACGCACUACUUCUUUGAAAAACAAGUCCGCAAUGUUAGUGGCAUCAUCGGUUUUGUGACAUGGUAUAAAGUGUGUUAGAUGAACAAGUAAUAGUACACGUGCAUGUUUGGCAAAGCUUAAAUUAUAGUUUAAACUAAUCGAAUAUAUUUGUUAUUCACGCAUUUCAUAAAAUCAAUAAUUUAUAAUCACUUAAAAGCAUACCCAAACAUACUCCAAUUGAUUCUUCAAUGGAAGUUCUUGAAAGCAAGGAAUAAGCUUAUAUUCAAGAUUUGAAAAUAAAAUCUCUGAAUGAGUAUUUCCCUUCUAUGAGUGCUUUUUUCUCUUACAUCCUGAAAAUUGACAGGCAUUAUUGUAUGUAAGAUCUGUUACUUGUGUGGUGUCCCAUCAGCAUAAGUAAUGUAGAAGUCGUUUCUUGAUCGUCUCUUCUAAGUAACAGUGAAACCAUCCAUUCUAGCAUCUUCAUCUUUAUUAGGAGUCUCCUACAUCAUAAAGUCAGAUUAGGUCCCAUUGUAACUAAAAAGCUACCACAUCAGACUCUUCAAUUAUCAUACAGAGACUUGCCGUGGCAUCGUCGGACUGAUUGUGGCCAUAUCCCGACAAGGAUCAAUUUAUUUGAAAUUGAAAUAAAGAUAAACCUACUUAUACAUAAUUUUUUGUACAUUAAAGUAUCCAUACACUCACAUGGGAUGGAGCCCACUCUAAUAUUUUGUUCGAAUGAACCCCAUCGCAUAUGAGUAUGGGAUACCUUAAUAUAUAAAAAGUUAUGUACACCAAAAAAAACCCUUGAAAUAACUCCACUGAAGGCGGCCCCAAUGGGAGGACGAUUCGAGGAGGACGUAUUCGAUUGUGUUUAGAAGCUGCAUAUCUAAUAAUCGAGUUAAAAUAAUGCCAUCUAUUGCUUGUGUAGAUCAUUGUUAUUGCAUUGUAAUGUCACCUAAACUGAUGAUGACCGUCGAUUUGUAUAAAAUUGCUAUUUUUGCAAAUCAAGAUGUUCAACUUUUAGCUUUUGUGGCACUUAUUGUUUACCUUUCAAUCAUAAUAUAUUAUUUGAACUUUAAAAUGUGUAUUUGAGUACUGGUUAUAAAUAAAUAAAAAAGAAAAAUAUAAAAUUAGUCCAUCCUAUCCGGUCUCGAACAUCAGAUUGCAUUUAGACGAAGCAUUUUAUCCCACACCAGAUGUCACCUUCAGACUUCAAGUCCACCAAAGGGCACCACCGCAGCCAUCUUGUUUCAAAGUCACUAAGUCAAACAGCCUUUUUGACCUUAGGAAAAUAAAGCAAAGGAAUAGGCAUAAAACAAGAAAUUAACAAGGGGUACACGUUUCAAUAACACCAAAAAAAUAUAAAAGAAGUAAAAGCAUCUCAUGAUAAUAGUCGCAGCUACCUUUUUUUCCAAUAGAUGGUAAUCUUCAAGCACGAUAACUUAACUCUUAAAUAUAAUCAACUUUUUUGUAUAAUAAUCAUGAUUGUACCUAUUCAUACUAUCAACUUUUGAGAGAGUACAUGCUCAUCUAGAUUCUCAAGGAUUUCUCUCGUGUUUUCUUCACAACUUAAGACAUCAAUCUUAUCGACACUUUAAGUUGAAUGUAGAACCAAACUAGUAACUUGCUAGAGACAUUAAAUAAAUCUAUGUAGAACCAAUCGAGUAACUUGCUAGAGACAUGAAAUAAAUCUACGAGCACAAGGUGAACACAGACCCUUAUAAUAAGGCUAAAACCCCAGAGGAAUCCCAAUCGCUAAAAUUAGGAACUCGGGUAAGAAGGAAACGACGCUCUUUCACCUUAAUCGAAUGGAAAAUGAGUUUCUUACCAAGUUCACAAAGCCUUGCUCAAAUCAUGGAUACCAAUCAUGCAUUAGAGUUGAUAAUAUCUAACCACGUGGCAGCAUUGAGGUUAAUCAGUGUCUCCGGGUCCCAUGAUAGGUAAACCUUAUCUUACUGUCUGAAUAUGUAUAACCAGAAUAUGAGAGGACAAUACAAAAACAUUAAACCAAAAGAGGGACAAUGAUCACAUGAGAAGCAUCAGUUGAACAAUUCCAAUCUUCUCCCAAAUUAUUGGUUUUUAUUUUUUCUCACUUGUUUCUUACAAGGAACAACAUUGAAUACAAUAAUACAAACAUUAGGUGGGAUCAAACUUGUUGCAUCACUUGCUUCGAUCUCAUGUUUACUUUACAAGGUACCACCACACAAUUAAGAAUAUUUAAAUCUUAAUAAAAACCGAAAAAGAAUUCUUCCUAUUGAAAAACUCUAAU